AUUGAACGCUGGCGGCAGGCCUAACACAUGCAAGUCGAGCGGAUGAAGGGAGCUUGCUCCCGGAUUCAGCGGCGGACGGGUGAGUAAUGCCUAGGAAUCUGCCUGGUGGUGGGGGAUAACGUCCGGAAACGGGCGCUAAUACCGCAUACGUCCUGAGGGAGAAAGUGGGGGAUCUUCGGACCUCACGCUAUCAGAUGAGCCUAGGUCGGAUUAGCUAGUUGGUGGGGUAAAGGCCUACCAAGGCGACGAUCCGUAACUGGUCUGAGAGGAUGAUCAGUCACACUGGAACUGAGACACGGUCCAGACUCCUACGGGAGGCAGCAGUGGGGAAUAUUGGACAAUGGGCGAAAGCCUGAUCCAGCCAUGCCGCGUGUGUGAAGAAGGUCUUCGGAUUGUAAAGCACUUUAAGUUGGGAGGAAGGGCAGUAAGUUAAUACCUUGCUGUUUUGACGUUACCAACAGAAUAAGCACCGGCUAACUUCGUG
Molecule: ribosomal RNA, 484 nt
Filed under: uncultured bacterium
Lineage: Bacteria
Description: partial 16S ribosomal RNA
Rfam family: Bacterial small subunit ribosomal RNA
Source: RNAcentral